UGAAACUUGAGGAACAGGCAG
Molecule: microRNA, 21 nt
Filed under: Salicornia europaea (common glasswort)
Lineage: Eukaryota; Viridiplantae; Streptophyta; Magnoliopsida; Caryophyllales; Amaranthaceae
Description: seu-miR11048
Source: miRBase by way of RNAcentral